This is an RNA transcript of Falco peregrinus (peregrine falcon), 3667 nucleotides long. It is a transcript of the gene named protein phosphatase 1 regulatory inhibitor subunit 2, with no coding region annotated. The transcript is spliced from 7 exons. The record is from RefSeq and is a predicted model, not a curated record. NCBI's taxonomy places the organism in Eukaryota, Metazoa, Chordata, Aves, Falconiformes, Falconidae.
GCGGCGGCCGGAAGCGAGUGGGCGGGCGGGUGGCGCGGCGAUGGAGGCGCCCUCGGUGCCGGCCGCCUCGGCGGCGGGGCGCGGGCCCAUCAAGGGCAUCCUGAAGAAGGGCGGCGGCAAGCUCUCGGCGGACGGAGCGGCUCCCGGGGCGCGGCGGGCCAGUCCGGCCCGCGACGAGGAUGAGCACGGUAAAAAAUCCCAGAAGUGGGAUGAGAUGAACAUCAUAGCUACGUACCACCCAGCAGGCAAAGAUUAUGGCUUGAUGAAAAUAGAUGAGCCAAGUACUCCUUAUCACAGCAUGGUAGGGGAAGAUGAUGAGGAUGCAGUGAGUGAUUCAGAGUCAAACGAGCCCUUAAAAGCAGAUGUGUUAAGUAAAAAACUGGCAGCUGCAGCUGAAGGUAAAGGACCCAAGAUUAUAGCAAAGCAAGAGGAAAGCAGUGAGGAGGAGGAAGAGGAUGAAGAAUUAACACCUGAGGAACGAGAGAAAAAGAAACAGUUCGAAAUGAAGAGAAAAAUGCACUACAAUGAAGGACGAAACAUCAAACUGGCAAGACAGCUUAUUGCAAAAGAACUACAUGGUGAAGAAGAGGAUGAUGAUGAGGAUGAAGAGAUGCAUGAUGCUGCAGAUGUAGAAACAAUGAAUACAGAAGCUACUGAACAUGGGGAAAGGAGGGCUCCAAUAGGCAACCUUAUGACCUUUCUCCAUGGCUUGAAGCUGCCAUCUGUCUGCACUUUGCUGUAAAACAGAGGCAACUCCGCUCCCCAGCUGCAUUCGCCAGUGGAAAGAAGGCACACCUUUGCAGCAUUUUUCAGUCUCUAUUGUUGAAGUCCAUUCCACCUUGCCUCAUAACCAGCUUCAGAGCCACAACUGACUGAGAUUUCUUGCUGAUUGAAGUGAAGAUGGCCAGUCCAGUCAGUAAUGGUGAGAACUGUUUGUAUAUUUUUGCCCGUCUCUGUUGUGGGCUAUCAAGCAUUUUAAAUGGAUGAGUCAUUCCUUUCUUGCCUCGAGUAGCUGUACCUUAUCCCAUGCAUGUGGAUUCUAGCAGCCAAUCUUUUUGGUGGAAAAGAGAGUUAAAAUUGUAGCAGACCGCACUGGGAUUCAGCAUUUCAGCCUCACUGGAAUUUCUCUGGCUACUCCCUAUUUAUGACUCCACAAACAACGUAAAAAGACUUUGCCAGCGAAAGGGACCUUUGUUCCUCUUCAAAAAUAUUUUUCCUGUAGAAAUUCUCUUUAAAAUCACUGACGGAAAGAUUUCUGAUAUAGGUGAAUUCAAGCAUGAUUUCAGUGCAGACCUGUCUUCUGUUACACAAAGGCGUAAGAUACAAGGGUGUGAUCUAUAGCAGUUAAAUUGACAAGCAGUAAAGCUAUUGUUCUUUCUCUCUGGCUCAUUUAGCAUUCAUUGCUAUGAUAACCCUGCUCAGAUACUGCUUAUCAGUUUAGCUGUCAGCUGACUGGGUGUGCCCUCUUGGCCCUUGGUAGAUACAGAAUACAUUGUGUUUUAACCAUGGUGAGCAUCACCCUAAAGAUGAGUAAGGAGAAGGCUGGGAGCAUACACAAAUUGGUUCUGCUUGUUAGCUAUACUAUUUGCUUGUUAAACUGCCCUUGUUACAAAGUCUUAACUCAUGCCGGAGCCUACCUGGCCUUUAUUAAAGAUUAUAGUAAUCUUGACGCGGUUUUAUUUUAUCUUUGCUUUAUGUCACUAAACUUUCAGGUGCAUGUAUCCAUACUAUAUAGUGGGCUUAUUCAUAUGAAAAGCACUAAUGACAAGGAGCUUUCUCUGAUUUCUUGCUGUUAAACGUGAGUUUAAAACAUGAGUGCUAAACAUGUUGAAGUGUCUCGGCUGGAAAUGAAAUUUGACCUGAAAAGUACUAUGCUUGCUUGUGUUUCAGGAACUUCAUAUGUUAGUUCUGCAAAUUGAUCUCUCUUAACUGCUCGGUUAAAUCCUCCCAAUUCCAGAGGUGGACAGUAUUCCUGCUUGGUAUGCUGAACAGUGGUGUUAGCUGUUCCUUCAAAACAUGAGGGUGAAAUAACUAUUUUAGAAGCUUUUGCAUUCUCAAACUAAAGGCUUGUACAUUGCUAAGAUGGGUUCGCAAGCAUUGCCUUUGGAGAAACGAAGAUGAUUUCGGGAGGAUAUUUGUGUUUUGAAAAUACUUGGUGAGUGUGAAGCAUUAUCUGUUUUCUGUAAUCUUUCUUAUGCAGCACAUGCUACUCGUGACCACCUGGAAGGUAGAACACACAGCAUAGAAGAAAUCUGUCCAGAACUGUAACUGCUUGUCAGACACAAAUAUAAACAUCACUUUAUAAUUUUUGCAAUUAAGGCUCUUAAAUAUUGAGAAGCAUAUCAGUUACAAUGUUGUAUUGCCAAGAAUGUUAAUUUUAGAUUUGUCUGUUAGACAGAAAAAACUGUCUAAUUGAUUUAUUCUUGUGCCUAGUAUUUCAUGGAGAAUACCGCUUCAUAAUCUGUUCAACCAGAAUGGCAUUCCCUGUAUAUGUAAUGCUGAUUAUCUUGCGUAAUGUACUGUUACUCUUCACGCUUCAAAACAGACAGCAUCUUUUGGGUUUCACUAUUUAUUUGACAGUGUUCUAGGUGUGGUAUCUCCUAUGGAAAGGUUUGGGAUUCAAAAGCCAAAUGGUACGGCAUAUAUCAGAUUGACAUGCAAGAUAUUUAUCAGAUGUGUUAAGCAGUUUAAAAAGGGAUUAUUUAAGUCUUAUAACUUUUUUUGUAAAGUGUUGACCUGUUAAUCUAUAUUUCAGUACAUUAUUACCUGUACUUUCCAAGUCUUUAGAAAAAGAGCUGUAUUAUUUUUUAAGAGUGGUGUAUGGAAUCAGUUGUUAGUUUCUGACUAGGCAGUACUAACAUCUGGUGGAGGGAAUGUUUUUACACUGGAAAUGUGCUAACUUGAACAUUGGAACUUCGCAUUUAGCUGUUGUUAUCUCUUCCAUCGGGACUGGAUGUUUUGUGGAGCUCUCUUUUGGCUUAUAAUGAGAAUAUGGAAGUUCCCUCCAACUUUUCUCUUAAAAUCACAUCCUCUGUCGCUCUUCUGGCUCUUGUUUCAAACUUCUGGUCCUUUGCAGUUGCCUGAAGAGUGCUUGUGCUACUAGCACCUGAGGAAAGACACCCAACCGUGAGCAAAUCCACAUCAGGACUCUGAAGAUGAGCUGAGUUUAGGGUCUGGCUGUCCUUUAUGUAAGGAUAACUGCUGAUGAUCUCCUACUCAUUCGGGGUUGGCAACCUGCAUACUGAAAACCACUGGUCUAAAUCUUCCUGUAUCCAUUGCAACUUACAGCAACUGCUUUCGUAAAAUGAAGGCUGUUUGGAAUAAUAGAAGGGAAACUGCCUAAUUCAGGUACUUGUUUACGGUGUGGUUGUGUAGCCCCUGUAAAGAGGGAUUCUGAAUCUCCAAAUUGCUGUCAAUGCCUUCCCAACUCAGUGGAAUUUGACUGGUGAAUGUUCCAGUAUUCAGAGCAGUUCAUGGGUUUUAUUACAAAAAUGAAGUAUACACUUAAGCUUUAGCUUGGUUAUGGAAUACAGUGUAUAUCUUAAUUUUGAUCUGAAUUUGAUAUGUUGCAAAAAUCCAUAUAAUUAUAUGGAUCUAUUUUAAAAUGUCUUUUUGUCCACUGUAUAUGUGAAGUUUGAAUAAAGGAAUGAAAGUUAUUUUACAGUUA